Cyprinus carpio carpio is the source of this 1282-nucleotide long non-coding RNA. The record is from Ensembl. NCBI's taxonomy places the organism in Eukaryota, Metazoa, Chordata, Actinopteri, Cypriniformes, Cyprinidae.
AGCUUACACACGGUGGUGAUGUACACAAUUCCAUUGUCACAGAGUGGGACAAAAUCUGUCAUGCCUCGAUUUUUACACCUGAAAAUCUCUAAAUACUAAUCUCAAAUACAACCGACUUAUGUUUCAUCUAUGUAUUCCAGACUCUGUUGAUCUAAGGACAAAGAGGAAGGCGUUCGACAUUGUGAUGGCAGUAAGGAGACUUGAGGAGGAGAAGAGGAUUCUUAUUGCAGAGAUGAACAAGCAUUGGAAGUCUCUUUGCUCCCGUGCAGACACCCUGAAGCAGAUGUCAUCCAAGCUUUCUAAUGUGACAUCAGGUGAGACUUGGGGCCUGCUUCAAGAUGGUAUCCGAGGUCUACAAAGCUUGACGAUGAAGAACAAGCGAGCAAGCAACAGCCUGGCAAAGCAUGCAAAGAAAUAUUAUGUUCAAGUUCUGACUGAAACAGAAAUUAACUUUGAUAGUGAUUCUGAGGAAUACCAUACCAGUAGUGACUCUGAGCAAGAUUAAACAUGGCCAGAGUCCUUUUUUAUGCUGUUGUGUGCUGGGGAGGCAGCAUUAAAGAAGAGGGCCGCUGGGACAGGUUGUUAAGGAAAGCUGGCUCUGUGUUUGGCAUGGAGCUGGAGUUAAUUAUUUAACAAACUGAGGAUAAUUUGCAGUAGCAGUCUUCUGUCAUGCUCAACAUUGAGGAGGUCCUUUGUCCCCAGGGCAUACCAGCAACUCAAUGUCACAGAAAAGGUUAGGGGAGAAAUUGACUUUUCAGCAUGAGUCUCACCCUGCGCCAACCAUUACAUCGCUUUGUCUAUUGUCUAGUAUCCACUAUCCAUUUGACUGUCUUACAGGCUACAUUAGCCCCUCUACACAUUCUGAACUGUGGUUUCAACAUUUACCCCUGUUGGCUUGUAUAAUCUUUUUUUCUUUUUUUAUAUAUAUUUAAGUUUCUGUUUUUUUCUAUCUAUUUUUAACUUCUUUGUAUUGUUUUUUUGUUAAGCAAUACUAUUAUGCUCAGACUCUUUUUUUCCAUAGUCAUAUUAAACAUGCACAGCUUUGCACUGAUUAAAUCCCUGCACUGUUUACUUUUUGCACUACCACCACUGCAAAUCACUCUAUAGUUGCCCAUCAUGUAUCACAGGGUCAGUCCCUACCAGGCCUUUGUAAUCACUUGACAUGCUCUUCACUUUUUUUACAUUUGUGAUUUUUUUGUUAUGUGUCUGAGUUGUGUGUUGUUUUUGUGGUUGUAUAAGCUAAUAAAUGCCUAAAAUGUGGUGUGUCGUCUUAAGUAGCCUA